CCUCCUGGGAAGUCCUCGUGUUGCACCCUU
Molecule: non-coding RNA, 30 nt
Filed under: Mus musculus (house mouse)
Lineage: Eukaryota; Metazoa; Chordata; Mammalia; Rodentia; Muridae
Also listed under: 1 other name
Source: RNAcentral